AAGAGACAGCUUGGUCACAGUGCGUGCGCAGAUCGAGCGUGAUGUGCCGGUCGGUUUCGAUCUGCAUGACGAUCGAGCAACGAUCGACGAGCCAUUGAGCGCAACAGUCGGUGCUUUGUACGAUCGAUUCGACGCACUAGCGAUCAAGGCGCGCCUGGGCAAGUUGGAUGAGGCGCGGGUCUGGCGGCAGAUCGGAACGCUCGGCGGCGGAAACCAUUUCAUCGAGUUGU
RNAcentral lists this unclassified non-coding RNA (230 nucleotides) under fungal sp. Its description in RNAcentral is "partial internal transcribed spacer region". Lineage: Eukaryota; Fungi. The record is from RNAcentral.